AGCAUCAUUUUGAUCGGUAUCAAAGUCGGGAAACAGGAAGCUAGGCUUGGAGAUGAGGAGGACUCCGAUCAUGGCAAAUAUGAUGGAAACGUACUGGACCAAGCCACAUGGUUCACCGAGAAACAGGUUAGUAUUAGACCAAUACAACCGGUGAGACAUCGUAAGGCCAGAGGAACUCUUUCGGAUGGGAUCGAUUUCAGAUCAUGUUUGCAUAAGAUUACCACAAUGGAAAAGGCUAUCAAUGUGAUGAGUGAUCUUUAACGAAAUUGAAAAGGUAAAAAAGGUCUGGAGCAAUGCCGAGUUCAAAGAAAAUACAUUCUCACACUGAUUCAUGUUCAGUUGAAACUAGCGAAGGUCAAAAAAGUUCAAUCAUCAUUCAUAUUUCAAUGAAAUUAUUAAUGUCAAUAAUUUGAUAUAGCAAUGCUGUAUAUGAAAAGCUUACACAAAAAUCGUCACUGUUUGUACAACAAAAACUAAAGAAAUUAUGGAAAUCAAUAUCAAUUAGUCAGUUGAUACAAUAUGUAUGACAAUUUGAUCAAAAGCUAUGGCUAUAACUAAGAUUCUUCAUAAGUUAAUUUAUUCAAAGAUUUUUGGCUAAAUUCAAUCAAUAUCUGGUAAAGAUGAAUCUGGACAAUGUUCAAUUAAACUUACAUUGAUUGUUGGCAUUUGAAGUAAUGGCAACCUUCGACGUAUUUCACUCACCUGAUAACAGCAAUUUCAAUACCAGAAACUGAUUGGAUAAGCUUGACUGUUAAGGAUCCAGUGGCAAAGAAAACACCUGAUAA
Molecule: long non-coding RNA, 785 nt
Organism: Tetranychus urticae (two-spotted spider mite)
Lineage: Eukaryota; Metazoa; Arthropoda; Arachnida; Trombidiformes; Tetranychidae
Source: RefSeq, a predicted model, not a curated record